This is a long non-coding RNA of Arachis duranensis, 690 nucleotides long. RefSeq lists it as uncharacterized. The record is from RefSeq and is a predicted model, not a curated record. The transcript is spliced from 6 exons. NCBI's taxonomy places the organism in Eukaryota, Viridiplantae, Streptophyta, Magnoliopsida, Fabales, Fabaceae.
CUUGAAUGUAAUGAAAAACGGCGGCCAGAUGAACCAGACAGGACACCGGCUGCCAAUGUUGAAGGUGGCUGAAGCAUUGCAUUUUUAGGCACUGUCUAAGUCUCUAAGACAUUAACUGUAGACGAACUGCUUUAUUUAAAGGAGGAGUUUACACUUUUGGAGCCAAACAAAAAUGGAACCAUUAGCCUAGAAAACAUCAAAGCGACCUCGAUGAAAAAUGCAACAAAUGCUAUGGAGUCACAUAUUCUUGACUUUUUUGGAUCAAUUUCAUGAUGUAAAUUCCAUGUAACCGCCGUUUAGUGUUCUUAAGGAUCUCAUUGAGAUUUUAGAGAGCAAAAGUAGCAUCAUUGAAGAGGCAAGGAGCUUGCAAUGUCUCCAAUCAAAUUGAUAGUUUUCGUUGAUAAUGGGUUUCAAUUCAGCGUAUAGGAGCUUGCAAGAUAUAUUCCCCCAAAAAAGGAUUAGGAGGCACAUAUGAAAGGGACGUGCCAUUUGCUACUGUCCUCGAAGAUUUUGGAAGUGACCAUAAUGAUUUUUAUUUUGCUGCUUUAGGAGAUAAAUUUCAGAUUUUUUCUUUUAUCACAGCUUCAAUUUUAAAUCAUUCCAUACUGGAGUUUAUAUAUGAAUUGUGUGAGAAAUACUGCUAUAGUUACAUCAUAUUGUUUAGGAUGCUAGCAAGUAUUAUUACAAAAA